UAGAGUUUGAUCAUGGCUCAGAUUGAACGCUGGCGGCAGGCCUAACACAUGCAAGUCGAGCGGCAGCGACAACAAAGAUUCUUCGGAUGAUUUGUUGGGCGGCGAGCGGCGGACGGGUGAGUAAUGGCUGGGAACCUGCCCUGACGUGGGGGAUAACAGUUGGAAACGACUGCUAAUACCGCAUGAUGUCUUUGGACCAAAGAGGAGGACCUUCGGGCUUCUCGCGUCGGGAUGGGCCCAGUUGGGAUUAGCUAGUUGGUGAGGUAAUGGCUCACCAAGGCGACGAUCCCUAGCUGGUUUGAGAGGAUGAUCAGCCACACUGGAACUGAGACACGGUCCAGACUCCUACGGGAGGCAGCAGUGGGGAAUAUUGCACAAUGGGCGCAAGCCUGAUGCAGCCAUGCCGCGUGUGUGAAGAAGGCCUUCGGGUUGUAAAGCACUUUCAGCAGUGAGGAAGGGUAAUGAGUUAAUACCUUAUUAUCUUGACGUUAGCUGCAGAAGGAGCACCGGCUAACUCCGUGCCAGCAGCCGCGGUAAUACGGAGGGUGCGAGCGUUAAUCGGAAUUACUGGGCGUAAAGCGCAUGCAGGCGGUUUGUUAAGCAAGAUGUGAAAGCCCCGGGCUCAACCUGGGAACCGCAUUUUGAACUGGCAGGCUAGAGUCCUGUAGAGGGGGGUAGAAUUUCA
This 685-nucleotide ribosomal RNA is filed under the name uncultured Vibrionaceae bacterium. RNAcentral describes it as "bacterial SSU rRNA". It matches the Rfam family "Bacterial small subunit ribosomal RNA", at positions 1 to 671 of the family's 1533-position model. Lineage: Bacteria; Pseudomonadati; Pseudomonadota; Gammaproteobacteria; Vibrionales; Vibrionaceae. The record is from RNAcentral.